Molecule: long non-coding RNA, 1145 nt
Organism: Drosophila willistoni
Lineage: Eukaryota; Metazoa; Arthropoda; Insecta; Diptera; Drosophilidae
Exons: 3
Source: RefSeq, a predicted model, not a curated record
UAUGUGCCAUUUUAAGCAAAAAUGUAAACAAUGAUUGGCAAAAAUACAAAUAAAAAGAUACAACUACAACAAAACAAAACUGAAACAAAAAUGAGUGAAAUACCAAGAGUCAACGCCAUCGUGGAUGAGAACAGAACGCAAACUGGGUGUUUGUGGUGGACCAAAGACACGUUAUUCAAAUUUUUUGUAGAUUUUAAGUAUUUAAUGUUUUAAUUGAUGUAUAAAAUGUUAAAUGUGAAAUAUUAUACAUGAAUAAUUUGCAGGUCGGAUUUGCUUCGUUGGCUUUUAUUAAUCAGCAGAUGUAUUACUGCGAUCUGGCUGCUCUGGGAUUCACCUUCACAAAUGGGGUCACUGCAGUCCUUAAACACGGAUUCAAAAAUUCGACAAACUUUCGUGCCUGAUUACUCUGUACGUGCUACAUCUGAUGUUAUUUAUAUAGCAAUUAAACCUAGUUUGUACCUGACUGCUAAGAAAGCUACAUGGUUGAGAAGAGCCGUUAAUCUGGGACAUUCUCAAAUGAGACAUUUGGCGAGGAAGUGGAACGUUGACUCCAUUCAAUAACCGAAGAUGAAAAACCACGAUUCCUAACAGCAAGUCAAAGUGCAAGACGCCUUUCUAAGCCGAAUCGAAGUAUAACAUCGUCGCCGACUAACAAUAGUAUAUCGUUUGCAGAAAAAAACACUGGCAGUCAAAUUAAUGGCGAACAAAAAAUUGUUAAUACAGAGCACACAGAAAAUGCCUCUAUAAGUAGUUUGUUUACUUCUAAAGUUGGAGGUGAUUUUCAAAGUGAAGAGCACGAUGACAAGAACAACCCAGCAUCUGUGCCGCUUCUAUCCCAACCAAAUCAUAAAAUAGAGACCCGGCAAAAUUAGCAUCAAUAACGAUACCGUACUAAUGUUAAGAAAUUCUUGCAGAAACUUAAAUUCUUCGUUUCUAUUGCAUCACUAUAUUGCCAUGUUUAAACCAGCUUAUAUUCUUGUUAUUUAAAUACUAUUCGUUUGAUUUGUGUUAUACGCAUUUUUAAUAGUAUACAUGCUGACAUUAUAAAUACAUUACCCCAUGAAAUGCGUACCUAAGACGAAAAUGUAGCAGCGCUUCAAAUAUAUUUCUCUAACACACUAAAUCAGUUUUACGAGUAAAAUUUU